GAUCCGCUAGCUCAGUUGGUUGCGAGAGAAAUCCGAGCCGAAGGCGAAGGCUUUGUCUCGUGAAAAGCACAACACUUUUAAUGUUGGGGUCAUGGGUUCGAGCCCCAUGCGGGUCA
Molecule: transfer RNA, 116 nt
Filed under: Hoylesella buccalis
Lineage: Bacteria; Pseudomonadati; Bacteroidota; Bacteroidia; Bacteroidales; Prevotellaceae
Description: tRNA-Lys
Rfam family: tRNA (bases 49-108)
About the family: Transfer RNA (tRNA) molecules are approximately 80 nucleotides in length. Their secondary structure includes four short double-helical elements and three loops (D, anti-codon, and T loops).
Source: RNAcentral